RNAcentral lists this long non-coding RNA (208 nucleotides) under Elaeis guineensis (African oil palm). Its description in RNAcentral is "long non-coding RNA (EGUI_LNC017957)". Lineage: Eukaryota; Viridiplantae; Streptophyta; Magnoliopsida; Arecales; Arecaceae. The record is from RNAcentral.
UGUGGAAGCUGUGAGAAUCUUUAGAUCAAUUUUGAAUUCUAGUUUUAUUUUGAAUCUUGAAAAUAUUUUUUAUGUUCCUAAUUUCUUUAGAAAUUUAGUUUCUGUUUCCAAGUUAACUGAUAUUGGUUUUGAUUUCCAUUUUAAAAAUCUAUAGUUAAUAUUUUUUGGAAUAAAAGUGUUAUUGACACUGAUUUUCUGAUAGAUGGUU